RNAcentral lists this ribosomal RNA (820 nucleotides) under Salmonella enterica. Its description in RNAcentral is "partial 23S ribosomal RNA". It matches the Rfam family "Bacterial large subunit ribosomal RNA", at positions 480 to 1190 of the family's 2925-position model. Lineage: Bacteria; Pseudomonadati; Pseudomonadota; Gammaproteobacteria; Enterobacterales; Enterobacteriaceae. The record is from RNAcentral.
CUGACCGAUAGUGAACCAGUACCGUGAGGGAAAGGCGAAAAGAACCCCGGCGAGGGGAGUGAAACAGAACCUGAAACCGUGUACGUACAAGCAGUGGGAGCCCCACCACCAAAGCGUUUCGCUUUGCGUGGUGCGCAAAAUGCGUAACGACAGCACGAUUGCGGUUAACGGAGCGUAAGCGACGUUCAACACAAAAAUCAGGCAGUGGAGCGUUUUGGGGUGGGGUGACUGCGUACCUUUUGUAUAAUGGGUCAGCGACUUAUAUUCUGUAGCAAGGUUAACCGCAUAGGGGAGCCGGAGGGAAACCGAGUCUUAAUUGGGCGUUAAGUUGCAGGGUAUAGACCCGAAACCCGGUGAUCUAGCCAUGGGCAGGUUGAAGGUUGGGUAACACUAACUGGAGGACCGAACCGACUAAUGUUGAAAAAUUAGCGGAUGACCUGUGGCUGGGGGUGAAAGGCCAAUCAAACCGGGAGAUAGCUGGUUCUCCCCGAAAGCUAUUUAGGUAGCGCCUCGUGAAUUCAUCUCCGGGGGUAGAGCACUGUUUCGGCCAGGGGGCCAUCCCGGCUUACCAAUCCGAUGCAAACUGCGAAUACCGGAGAAUGUUAUCACGGGAGACACACGGCGGGUGCUAACGUCCGUCGUGAAGAGGGAAACAACCCAGACCGCCAGCUAAGGUCCCAAAGUCAUGGUUAAGUGGGAAACGAUGUGGGAAGGCCCAGACAGCCAGGAUGUUGGCUUAGAAGCAGCCAUCAUUUAAAGAAAGCGUAAUAGCUCACUGGUCGAGUCGGCCUGCGCGGAAGAUGUAACGGGGCUAAACCAU